RNAcentral lists this long non-coding RNA (1775 nucleotides) under Homo sapiens (human). RNAcentral's name for it is "HSALNT0335706". Lineage: Eukaryota; Metazoa; Chordata; Mammalia; Primates; Hominidae. The record is from RNAcentral.
GCAGGAAGGGUGGGGGGUGAGCAAGGGAAGAGGGGGAGAUGGUCGCCCAGAGUUGAGGGGGUGGGGAGGGAGGCGCGCAGGAGCCCAGCAGAGGUUCCCACUAAAUGAGCUUGGGAGGGGAAAUGUAAGAUGAGGCGAUGGGUCUCUCCCCCGCCCUCCUUCUACCCUACCCUCCUUCCCCCUUCGCGCCCUUUCCUUGGGCUCUUCCUCUCGUGGCUCAGGCUGGGGGUUACCCAAGCUUGGCAGCAGCCGCGGCUUCAGCGCGCUGGUGCGAGUGCUGAGUCCGGGAGGCAGCCUCUACAGCUCUCCCCGCCACCGGCCUGUGGCACCUGUGCGCGCACACUGCCGCCCGCUCCAUUGCGGCGGCUCCUGGACCAGGAUCCGCAGCCUGUCGCCCUCCUUCUCUCCUCUUUCUGGGCAGAUUAUGAUCCUACAUGUGCAUCCAUGACAUCUGUAUAGUCCCCCAUUGGUGUUUGUUUCCCUGGGCGCUCUUUGGCACUGGCUGUCCCGCCAGAAGGCGCCAGCAGGGAGCUCAAUGCCGGCAACCAUCGCCUGCCCCUUGGAGCUGUUGCCUGGGCAGGGGUGGCCUUGGUUGUUUACCGCCGGGGUUGACCAGCUAACGAGCUCCCAGGCAGCUGUGAUGGUGGGGAGGCAGCUGCACAGUGAUGGCAGUGGCUGCCAGGCAGUCCCCCACAACCCUGAGAAAGGAAAAUUCUGCUCUCUGUGUUUUAAAUUCAUGUCACAAGGGAGCACCUAAUAAGGACCUGACUCACAGUGGACAUUAAAACAGUGAUUAUGUGAACUAAUUGGUGGAUAAAUCGUUGGCUCUCUGCUUCAAGCACAGCAAAACAAGUCAGCUUCUUGGAUAUCUUUUAUGGGAGAUAAUAUGGCUAUCCAAAUGUUCACCAAUCCCUCACUUAUGCCUUGUGCCCACUCAUGGGAGACAUAUAAUCUCAUGCCCCAGUGAUGUUGGGCUUUGACAUGUGACUUGCUUUGGCCAAGAGAAUGUAAUCAGAGAUAACAUAUGCCACAUUUUAUUAGAAGCUGUGAGAGAUAUUUUACAUUUCUAUCAGUCACCUUUAAUUUCUGCCCUCUGGAAUUUUAAAAGUAUGUUGUAGUUGUGGCUAAUAUUUCCACUUGGAUACUGCAAUAAGAAAACACAAAGAGACAGGCCAAGCACAAUAAGACCAACCAACCAAAUCCAGAAAUGCUCAGCCAAACUGAAGCUGACCCUCGGCAUUCAUGUGAUGGGUGAGAACUACAAGGUGUAAGCCUUUGAGAUUUUGUGGUUCUCUGGCUGAAAGAAAAGUUGAUUGAUAUCCUUCUAUAAAACAAAAGAUUCAGAAGGAUCUAAUGGAUUAGGUUUUAGUAUAUUAUUGCAAAUCAUAAUGAAUUCUUAGAUACAUAUUUUUUAACCAUAAUAGGAAGAAUAGCUAUUUAUACAACUCAUAUUUACAAGAUGAUUUCAUAUUUUUAGUUCAUUUUCUGCUGUGUAGAAAUGUAAUGGUUAUAAUAUGGUGCCCUUUCAUGCUCAUCAAGCACUCUUUUAUCUCACUAAUGAAGGGCAAAAGUGAUGGACAUAUGUUGUUACUAGAAUAAAAGGCCACCUUACACUCAAGAAAAUUAAUGUAUUACUGUGAUAACUUUGUUCUCUAUUAAAAAUGAAUCAUUCUUGAAUCAGAAUUUCUUUACUUUGGAAGUUAGUAUUUCACCCUUAUAUCAAUUUAACUUUGUAGAAAUAUGACUAGAAAUUAAAUGGCAUAAAAACUGAGAAA